ACGUGGGGAAUAAAGCUGGGCAUUGUGCUGGGCUUGCAACAUCUCUCCCUUCCCAGAGUUCCUG
RNAcentral lists this small nuclear RNA (64 nucleotides) under Cervus elaphus hippelaphus. Lineage: Eukaryota; Metazoa; Chordata; Mammalia; Artiodactyla; Cervidae. The record is from RNAcentral.